Molecule: ribosomal RNA, 960 nt
Filed under: uncultured Actinomycetes bacterium
Lineage: Bacteria; Bacillati; Actinomycetota; Actinomycetes
Description: bacterial SSU rRNA
Rfam family: Bacterial small subunit ribosomal RNA
Source: RNAcentral
UGUCCGGAAUUAUUGGGCGUAAAGAGCUCGUAGGCGGUUUGUCGCGUCUGCUGUGAAAAUCCAAGGCUCAACCUUGGACCUGCAGUGGGUACGGGCAAGCUAGAGUGCGGUAGGGGAGAUGGGAAUUCCUGGUGUAGCGGUGGAAUGCGCAGAUAUCAGGAGGAACACCAAUGGCGAAGGCACAUCUCUGGGCCGUAACUGACGCUGAGGAGCGAAAGCGUGGGGAGCGAACAGGAUUAGAUACCCUGGUAGUCCACGCCGUAAACGGUGGGUGCUAGCUGUGGGCCACAUUCCACGUGGUCUGUGACGAAGUUAACACAUUAAGCACCCCGCCUGGGGAGUACGGUCGCAAGACUAAAACUCAAAGGAAUUGACGGGGGCCCGCACAAGCGGCGGAGCAUGCGGAUUAAUUCGAUGCAACGCGAAGAACCUUACCAAGACUUGACAUAUAGAGGAAAAGCGUAGAAAUACGCUCCCCGCAAGGUCUCUAUACAGGUGGUGCAUGGUUGUCGUCAGCUCGUGUCGUGAGAUGUUGGGUUAAGUCCCGCAACGAGCGCAACCCUCGUCCUAUGUUGCCAGCACGUAAUGGUGGGAACUCAUGGGAGACUGCCGGGGUCAACUCGGAGGAAGGUGGGGAUGACGUCAAAUCAUCAUGCCCCUUAUGUCUUGGGCUUCACGCAUGCUACAAUGGCCGAUACAAAGGGCUGCAAUACCGCAAGGUGGAGCGAAUCCCAUAAAGUCGGUCUCAGUUCGGAUUGGGGUCUGCAACUCGACCCCAUGAAGUCGGAGUCGCUAGUAAUCGUAGAUCAGCAACGCUACGGUGAAUACGUUCCCGGGCCUUGUACACACCGCCCGUCAAGUCACGAAAGUCGGUAACACCCGAAGCCGGUGGCCUAACCGUAAGGAAGGAGCCGUCGAAGGUGGGAUCGGUGAUUGGGACUAAGUCGUAACAAGGUAGCC